ACGAAAGAAAGAAAAUAAGGCGUACGAAAAUGGAAAAGAGGACAUCGUGUGUGGUCGCUAGGCUACAAUAAGUGAGCGUGUGAGCGUUUAAUGCGUUGAGUGAGAGCAAGAGAAGGCAAAGUUGGGAUUUCGUAUGAAGCGAGUAAUUUCCCCACAAUUAUUACGCACUGAUGUUGUACAUCAUAGUAAGGAUUGCAGUGUCGACUCACAAACGCAGAUCAGCUGGUCUUUGGGGGUGGUCUUCCUCCGGACCUCAGGCAGAAACGAGGCAGGUUCGGUUGAAGAAAAACCAGGUGUGAGUUUAGAGUUUUAAAUACCCCAGGGGCGGGGCGUAGGAAGAGGGAGUGCCGACUUGGAGAAAGCCACGCCCACCGGCCGGAAUCUUGUCUACAAAUUUGAGUAAAUUGGUUUUAAAAUAAUAUUAAUCUCAAACACUCCCAACUUUGUACUCUCACGCAUAGAAUUAUUAUUUAAACUUUGGUGGGUUGCUUAAUUGUUCAAUACAACAUUUCGUACUGCUUGAUUUCAAAUCUUGAACAGCUUUCAUAAUCUUGCAGACAAACCUGUCAAAGUGAGAAUGGGGACACAGACACCAAGGCAUACAUUUGGAAUAUUUCUACAGUUUGCAAGGUGUACAAACUGACAUUUUAUGUUCCGUUAACGUCCACAAGUUCUGCUUGCAGUUCCUCUCAACGCCAGUGGGUGGAGCCUCACGCGCAUUGGUGGAUAUUAACCACAUAGUCUUCCCCAACCAUUUGGGGAUCUUUUGAAGGUUAAGGUCCACUUGACGAACACCGGGCAUUGUCCUCGUCGCCGUCUCACAGCAGGGCAGCGUGGAGUGGGGGUUGUCAGGCGGUCACGAGUCUCUGUGACGUCUCAAAGUUGCGGCGUGCUUGUCCGCUACAAGUAUAUAUCAAUAGUUUUGAUUGACACAGUCAUUGCUAAUUUAUCUGUUUACCAUAAUGGUUGUAGGUUGCAGUGGUGCAAUAGUGCACUGCACUCUAAGCUGUUUCUAACAUUUUGGGGUCAUUUUGCCUUUAGGCUCUGUGCAGGGUAAGUGUACCUCAUGAUUUUUUUAACAGUGAACUAUUUCGGGCCAGCACGGUGGACGACUGGUUAGCACAUCUCCUCGGAGUACUGAGGAGCCGUGUUCAAAUCCCGCCUCGCCUGUGUGGAGUUUUCCCCGUGCCUGCGUGGGUUUUCUCCGGGCACUCCGGUUUCCUGCCACAUCUCCAAAACAUGCAUGCUGCCAAGAUGUGCAGUCAAGAACUGGAUCUGGUACCUUGGUAGCUGCCCACUGCUCCUCAGGGGGACAUCGGCGUUACAGCACAACAAGCAGGACAUCUCAACCCAGCCACGGGCUGGCCUCGGCCACCGCUCCCCCCUUUGCCCUUUCUUUGUUCGGGCAUACGGCUCAGUAACCGCGGGCCUUGGGGAUGAAGAUCCAUCUCCCUAGCCUCUGUAGACCCCCGCUGCUAAACCUCCGGAACAGUGACUGCUGAGCUACCCAGAUACGCUCCCAGCCAAACGGUCGCGGACAUGCUGGUCCCUAGCCCAGCUGACUCUGGGCGAGAGGCGAGGGGCACCCUGAACUGGUCGCCAUACGAUCGUAGGAAGAAGUGUUUGGAUAUGGAGUACCGGUAAUCUUUCAAUAUUGCACACAAAACGAGUGAGAAGUGAUGAGCAGGCAAGUGUUUGCAGAGCAGAGGAAAUUAUGUGUGUAGUAGUCCUUUCCAUCGGAACAGUGACAAUAAUACACUUAAAUGCUGCCUGCAGAUUUUCAUUUAAAAUCUCUGCAAAUAGAUUACAAAGUCAGAAUGCAUAAAGGGAAAAUGAAGUCCUGCAAAUCCUUGCAACCACACGAGGGAAGAUUUAAGAAGGAGUGCAAUGGGUGUC
Molecule: long non-coding RNA, 1896 nt
Organism: Phyllopteryx taeniolatus (common seadragon)
Lineage: Eukaryota; Metazoa; Chordata; Actinopteri; Syngnathiformes; Syngnathidae
Exons: 5
Source: RefSeq, a predicted model, not a curated record